This 468-nucleotide ribosomal RNA is filed under the name uncultured bacterium. Its description in RNAcentral is "partial 16S ribosomal RNA". It matches the Rfam family "Bacterial small subunit ribosomal RNA", at positions 28 to 507 of the family's 1533-position model. The record is from RNAcentral.
GACGAACGCUGGCGGCGUGCUUAACACAUGCAAGUCGAACGGAAAGGCCCUGCUUUUGUGGGGUGCUCGAGUGGCGAACGGGUGAGUAACACGUGAGUAACCUGCCCUUGACUUUGGGAUAACUUCAGGAAACUGGGGCUAAUACCGGAUAGGAGCUCCUGCUGCAUGGUGGGGGUUGGAAAGUUUCGGCGGUUGGGGAUGGACUCGCGGCUUAUCAGCUUGUUGGUGGGGUAGUGGCUUACCAAGGCUUUGACGGGUAGCCGGCAUGAGAGGGUGACCGGCCACAUUGGGACUGAGAUACGGCCCAGACUCCUACGGGAGGCAGCAGUGGGGAAUAUUGCACAAUGGGCGGAAGCCGGAUGCAGCAACGCCGCGUGCGGGAUGAUGGCCUGCGGGUUGUAAACCGCUUGCGCCUGUGACGAAGCGUGAGUGACGGUAAUGGGUAAAGAAGCACCGGCUAACUACGUG